Molecule: long non-coding RNA, 2187 nt
Organism: Polistes canadensis
Lineage: Eukaryota; Metazoa; Arthropoda; Insecta; Hymenoptera; Vespidae
Exons: 3
Source: RefSeq, a predicted model, not a curated record
GUUUAUUUUUAUUACAUGGCAAUAAUGCCACUAAGAUAUCCACAGUCUAAGAAAAGAAAGAAAGUAAAAUUCAUUACAUGCAUUUUUAGAUUAAAGGGAUAAGUGGCUUACAUUAGUACAAACACGUCUUUUUCUUUGACUUUCCACAGUCCACAAUUCAUGGCUAUUUAAUAUAGCAGCUCGAGGAUACAUGUAAUUUUAAUAUAAACAUAAUUUCUGUAUAUACUCACUGAAGAAGACCAUACACUUGAUCGUGGAUCAAAUUAAUCGAUGGAAUUGUAAUUAUUAUAUUGAAAUGCAUGACAGUGGAAGCUUGAAUAAUACCACUUGCAGGUAUUAUAUAAAAGUAAUUCGUUAAAUUUACUUUUUCAACUUUAUUUUCUUCGUUAACUUGUACAUGACGUUUAUCCCAAUGGAAGAACACAUACAUUUGGCUGCACGUAGAAUAUAAAAUGUAAGAAUUCAUUCAUUCCAAUACAAUAAUGAUACAAGAGCACUUGAAAUAUUUAAAAUAUAUUUUACCCAGUAUUAGUUAUAGAUAUUUUCUUGUUUAUAACUUCAAACUCACUCGAUAAAUUUGUUUGUAAAUUUAAAUGAUAGUGAGCAACAGCUUGUGCAUCGAUCUUUGUCAAAAAUAAUAUUGUCUCUUUUGAUUGCUGGAAAAAUAUUGUUUAAAAAGUAAUAUAUAAAUCAUUUCUAAAAUAUACUUACACUGUUAAUUUGCAAGAUCUGUGGCUCGUAGAUAAUACCAUCACCGAUUAAUUCGAUAGAUUUAAUCGAAUAAUUGUCACUAAUAACGUAUAAUGUUUCGACCUGAAAAUGAUCAUUAUAUUAUUUAAGAUUCUUUUGAUAUACAUUUUGCUAAAAAUUACGUGCACUCCGUAAGAUUCAGGAAAGAAAUAUAUAUGAACAAAUACAUCCUCUUGCGUCUUCAAAACAAAAUAUGCUGGCCAUACAGCAAAAUAUUGUAAAGUUAGUAUAUUAAUAUCUGUGAUAUCCUAUAGAAAGAAAUGAUUAUUUAUUAUUUUUUUAUCAUAAUAAUUAUUAGAAUAUGUAAAAAAUUACUUACUUCUAUAAACAUACUAUACCAAUCGAUUUCACUUAUUACAAUGAACUUUCCAUCUAUUCCAGUGUUUCUAAAUCUAAUUUGAAAUGCAAUCUGUUCGCCAACGAAACACUUUCCGCAAUCAAAAAUCAUGUUGGAGUAAUCAACAUUUGUUAACGAUCUUUCACUGUAAUAAUAUUUAUCAAAUUCAUCGAUAGUACUAGAAUACUAAAAAAGGAUAAGAUUUUAUGUAUUAGGAAUUAGAAGAUAUAUGAAAUAGAAUAUUAAUAAUAUUAUACUUGGGUUGUAUAUGAUUCCCAUGAAUCACUAGACAUCGUAAUGCUCCGAGUUGAAUACAAAUUUUGUAUUUGCGAUUCUGCAUGUUGCAAAUGUGGUACAAUUAUUUCUAAAAGUACAUAGAUGCAUUAGACAACGUUCUAACAAUACAAUGUACGAUUUAUUAUAUAUAAAAAAGGAAAAAACGAUUACUUUUCAGUAUAGGAGGAUUUCUAGUACAUUGUAAUUUAAUAUUAAUAGGUCUUCCGUGUUGAACGUAUACAUUAAUCAUUUCUUCCUUCUCACAGAAAUCUUCGGUGUAAAAAUAAACAAUUAAUUUAACUUGCAUUCCUGGAGCGAUAAAAUUACUUUUUAGUUUUUUAUUUUGUACUUCAACUCGAAAUUUAGAAUAAAAAGUCGUAGGCUUUAUUUGAAAUCUUGUUAGAUAAUUACUCUUGUUUGUUAAUAUUACAUUUUUCUGUAAGAAAAAUAACAUAAGUUUCGUAAUUACAGUUGUAAUAGUUGCAACCAAAACGUGUCUAUAUCCAAUAUAAAUAUGAUGAAAAUAAUUUAAUAUCAUAUACGUACUCUGUAUAAAGAAUAUCUUUGAAAAUUAUGGAAACAGACAUGAUCAGGUUUUGCUAUUAAAAUGGAUCUAUAUGAUUCUGUUUUGUAUGUACUUUUUCUGCGUUCUUUAAAUAUAGUGCAAUUCAUUUCACUUUGUUUUCUAUAAUAAUUUCUGCAUUAAUAUAAGAUUUAUGCAAUGAGGUCGCAAAAGAAUGUACCUUCUCAUAAAUGAUUCCUUUAUAAAAUUAUUUUGAAUAACUGGCUUUAUCUUUAUCGUCGAAGGAAUAAAUUUCAUCAAU